AGCUUUUCAUUUUUGCAAUCUGCCUUGCAGUUGUGAAUAAUUGAAUUCAGACAAGUGUUGGCGAAAUUGUACUAGACCAAAUGAUUUUGAUUAAGUGGAAUUUUCCAUGCCAAGCCCACACUAAAAACUAAAUGAUCGAGCAAAAGCUCUCUCUCAAAUCAUUAAAUGUUCAGCAGUGGUGUCCAAAAAAGGCUCAAAACUCGAUGUUAAAUGGAUAGUUCUUGCUUUUGAUGGCGUGGGUCAUGGGAAUCAGACGUUCUCCGGUGUUGUAGGAAUCCAGAAUGGCAUGAUCCUCAGCAUCCAGCUGGAAGUCGAAGAUCUGGAAGUUCUCCUCGAUGCGCUUGGGAUUUGAGGACUUUGGCAAUGGGAUGGUUCCAAUCUC
This is a non-coding RNA of Drosophila melanogaster (fruit fly), 382 nucleotides long. The record is from Ensembl. NCBI's taxonomy places the organism in Eukaryota, Metazoa, Arthropoda, Insecta, Diptera, Drosophilidae.